This 439-nucleotide ribosomal RNA is filed under the name uncultured bacterium. Its description in RNAcentral is "partial 16S ribosomal RNA". It matches the Rfam family "Bacterial small subunit ribosomal RNA", at positions 339 to 795 of the family's 1533-position model. The record is from RNAcentral.
CUACGGGAGGCACCAGUGGGGAAUAUUGCACAAUGGGGGGAACCCUGAUGCAGCAACGCCGCGUGGAGGAUGACACAUUUCGGUGCGUAAACUCCUUUUAUAUAAGAAGAUAAUGACGGUAUUAUAUGAAUAAGCACCGGCUAACUCCGUGCCAGCAGCCGCGGUAAUACGGGGGGUGCAGGCGUUACUCGGAAUCACUGGGCGUAAAGAGCAUGUAGGCUGGUUUGUAAGUUGGAAGUGAAAUCCUAUGGCUUAACCAUAGAACUGCUUCCAAAACUACUUACCUAGAGUAUGGGAGAGGUAGAUGGAAUUUCUGGUGUAGGGGUAAGAUCCGUAGAGAUCAGAAGGAAUACCGAUUGCGAAGGCGAUCUACUGGAACAUUACUGACGCUCAGAUGCGAAAGCGUGGGGAGCAAACAGGAUUAGAUACCCUCGUAGUC